CUCAUCUUCCCACCUUCAAACUGUUCUUUUGUAUCCCAACCAGCAGCAUAUUAUAGUCCAUAAUCGACUGGUGACUUGCCAAUCAAAGUACAAGUGCUCAAAGUUCUCAGCAUGCUGCUGACAGAAUAUACAAUCAGUAGGCACCUGAAUCCCAUACUUCUGCAAUCUGUCAAUAGUAGGCAGCCUGUGAUGAGCAGCUAGCCACACUGUGAAUUUGUGUCUAGGUUGCACGUUUGUAGUCAGCAUCACAUUCUUCCAUUCUACCUUAUUAUAUCUAGGCAGCAUUGCAAAAUAAAGUUUUUGGAUCUGAUACUUGUCUAGUUUGCACAUUGAUUGUAAUCUGUUAAGGAGAUCCCCUUGAAGCUGC
Molecule: long non-coding RNA, 367 nt
Filed under: Nicotiana benthamiana
Lineage: Eukaryota; Viridiplantae; Streptophyta; Magnoliopsida; Solanales; Solanaceae
Description: long non-coding RNA (NBEN_LNC030779)
Source: RNAcentral